RNAcentral lists this microRNA precursor (75 nucleotides) under Myotis davidii. RNAcentral's name for it is "mir-9229 microRNA precursor family". It matches the Rfam family "mir-9229 microRNA precursor family". The record is from Rfam by way of RNAcentral. Lineage: Eukaryota; Metazoa; Chordata; Mammalia; Chiroptera; Vespertilionidae.
AGACACCCUUCUGGGGCAAGACUUGCUUCAGUAGGGCUUUGGUGCUCACUGAGUCUGCUCCCUGAGUAUGUCCCU